GGUGAGUUCACCCCGGUCCUGGUCUGGCACCUCAUUGCUGGGGAGGUCUCGGUAGUCCAGAGGAGGUAGCCCCCACCCUGGGCAUCCAUCUGCCCAGGCCCCAGCCCCCGCGGGAAGACCCAAUUACAGAAGGAAGAAGUAUGUGGAGACCCUUGGCUGAGGUUGGGGGACCUGGAAGCUGGAGGAAUGGCAGACUCUGGACAUGCUCCUAGAGAUGGGAGGUCAAAAUGAUCAACGUUCAGGGUCCCUUCAUCUCAGAGGGUCUCGAGUCACCUCAUUUAAAGUGUGGCCUGGGACACCUCCUAUCCAGCCAUACGCCGCCCAGGACUGGCUCAACAGCUCCACCCUCCACUGCUGUUCACCCAUGACACGUCACUUCCCACCCGCCACUGCUGGCUCACCUGUGACACCCCAGGCAGCUCAGAUGCCCGGCAGGUCCUGCUGGUGUGUAUUAGCCGGGGUCUCCAAAGAACCAGAGCCAGCAGGAGACACACCCGUCUCUGUAUCUGGAGAAAAAGAUCGAUGAGAAGGAAUCUGCUCCUGUGAUGAUGGAGGCUGACAAGUCCCGAGAGCCACGGUUGGCACCCUGGAGACCC
This 596-nucleotide long non-coding RNA is filed under the name Pan troglodytes (chimpanzee). RNAcentral describes it as "lincRNA". The record is from RNAcentral. Lineage: Eukaryota; Metazoa; Chordata; Mammalia; Primates; Hominidae.